This 28-nucleotide small RNA is filed under the name Bombyx mori (domestic silkworm). RNAcentral describes it as "piRNA piR-bmo-2182604". The record is from RNAcentral. Lineage: Eukaryota; Metazoa; Arthropoda; Insecta; Lepidoptera; Bombycidae.
AGACGACUAUCAGUAGUGUGCUUAGCUG